AAUCCGUGGUGCAGGCAUUUCUGAAUCAAUGUUUUAAAUGUUCCCAAGCUUCAUGAAAACUUUUUCCUUCCAUCUGUCUAAAGACAACAAUUUCUCUUCUUAGUUG
This is a non-coding RNA of Gossypium raimondii (Peruvian cotton), 106 nucleotides long. Lineage: Eukaryota; Viridiplantae; Streptophyta; Magnoliopsida; Malvales; Malvaceae. The record is from Rfam.